RNAcentral lists this transfer RNA (73 nucleotides) under Nannizzia gypsea CBS 118893. RNAcentral describes it as "tRNA-Lys (TTT) (tRNA-Lys-TTT-1-1)". It matches the Rfam family "tRNA". From Rfam's summary of the family: Transfer RNA (tRNA) molecules are approximately 80 nucleotides in length. Their secondary structure includes four short double-helical elements and three loops (D, anti-codon, and T loops). Further hydrogen bonds mediate the characteristic L-shaped molecular structure. tRNAs have two regions of fundamental functional importance: the anti-codon, which is responsible for specific mRNA codon recognition, and the 3' end, to which the tRNAs corresponding amino acid is attached (by aminoacyl-tRNA synthetases). tRNAs cope with the degeneracy of the genetic code in two manners: having more than one tRNA (with a specific anti-codon) for a particular amino acid; and 'wobble' base-pairing, i.e. permitting non-standard base-pairing at the 3rd anti-codon position. The record is from RNAcentral. Lineage: Eukaryota; Fungi; Ascomycota; Eurotiomycetes; Onygenales; Arthrodermataceae. RNAcentral also lists the same sequence under 16 other names.
GCCGGGCUAGCUCAAUCGGUAGAGCGUGUGGCUUUUAACCACAAGGCUGCGAGUUCGAGCCUCGCGUUCGGCU